Molecule: ribosomal RNA, 292 nt
Filed under: uncultured bacterium
Lineage: Bacteria
Description: partial 16S ribosomal RNA
Rfam family: Bacterial small subunit ribosomal RNA
Source: RNAcentral
GUGUCAGCAGCCGCGGUAAGACGAACCGUGCGAACGUUGUUCGGAAUCACUGGGCUUAAAGGGCGCGUAGGCGGGUCUGCAAGUCCGGGGUGAAAGCCCCCAGCUCAACUGGGGAAGUGCCUUGGAAACUGCAGGUCUAGAGGGAGGUAGGGGCAUGUGGAACUUCGGGUGGAGCGGUGAAAUGCGUUGAUAUCCGAAGGAACGCCGGUGGCGAAAGCGACGUGCUGGAUCUCUUCUGACGCUGAGGCGCGAAAGCCAGGGGAGCGAACGGGAUUAGAUACCCCUGUAGUCC